GACGAACGCUGGCGGCGUGCCUAAUACAUGCAAGUCGAACGCUUCUUUCCUCCCGAGUGCUUGCACUCAAUUGGAAAGAGGAGUGGCGGACGGGUGAGUAACACGUGGGUAACCUACCCAUCAGAGGGGGAUGACACUUGGAAACAGGUGCUAAUACCGCAUAACAGUUUAUGCCGCAUGGCAUAAGAGUGAAAGGCGCUUUCGGGUGUCGCUGAUGGAUGGACCCGCGGUGCAUUAGCUAGUUGGUGAGGUAACGGCUCACCAAGGCCACGAUGCAUAGCCGACCGGAGGGGGGGAGCGGCCCAACUGGGACUGAGACACGGCCCAGACCCCUACGGGAGGCAGCAGUAGGGAAUCUUCGGAAAUGGACGAAAGUCUGACCGGGCAACGCCGCGUGAGUGAAGAAGGGUUUCGGAUCGUAAAACCUUGUUGUUAGAGAAAAACAAGGACGUUAGUAACGGAACGUCCCCUGACGGUAUUAAACCAAAAAGCCACGGCGAACUACGG
RNAcentral lists this ribosomal RNA (507 nucleotides) under uncultured bacterium. RNAcentral describes it as "partial 16S ribosomal RNA". It matches the Rfam family "Bacterial small subunit ribosomal RNA", at positions 28 to 506 of the family's 1533-position model. The record is from RNAcentral.